UUCCUUAGCAUGAACAAAGGAGGAGACCAAUCUCCUCUUGGGUGAGAGAUCUAAAACUGUUCUAAGAUUUUUGGGUGAGAGAAAAAUCAAAGAGAAGAGAGUCUUCAUCAGAUUUUUCUUCACCAUCUAGCAUCCUCUUCUGAUCCAUCUUCGACAUUGAAAAGAUUCGAGAUGAUCGAAGAAAGAGAUCAAAUUAGAUCUACCAUCAGAAGUCGACUAUGCGAGCUAGCACUCCCGUGGAGGCUGAUCGGUCUGAGGGCUUUGUGUGGACAAUCUGUAG
RNAcentral lists this long non-coding RNA (280 nucleotides) under Elaeis guineensis (African oil palm). RNAcentral's name for it is "long non-coding RNA (EGUI_LNC014151)". The record is from RNAcentral. Lineage: Eukaryota; Viridiplantae; Streptophyta; Magnoliopsida; Arecales; Arecaceae.